Molecule: long non-coding RNA, 2802 nt
Filed under: Homo sapiens (human)
Lineage: Eukaryota; Metazoa; Chordata; Mammalia; Primates; Hominidae
Description: HSALNT0313914
Source: RNAcentral
UAAAGUCUACAGGAGUAUACAGUAAUGUCCUAGGUGUUCACAUUCACUCAUCACUCACUCAUUCACUCACCCAGAGUAACUUCUAGUUCUGCAAGAUCCAUUCAUUGGAAACAGAAGUUGAUGGAGACCUUGGAGUUGGGAAAGAAAAGGAGGCCAAGAAGGAUAACUGGUAGUAGAGUGGCCUUACAGCUAGAUGAGGAAUUCGGAUUCUAGUCUUCAGCUGAAGUUCUCUGGAAUGGUCAUGAAGAGAGAAAACAUCAAAGAUUAGGAAAUCUAUCCCAAAAAGAUCACAAAAUCAAGGACAGUGACACCUUUUUGAGCUUUUUACUUGACUCUUCCUGUUUUUUUUUUUUUCCACUUCCCUUAGUCAUUCACUAAUCAGUUCUGCUUUAGAACCAUUAAAAUAAUAGAAAAGUUACAGAAACUUGGUAAAAUGUUUCUCUGGCCUAUUUCCAAACCGCCCAAAAUUAAUGGGAAAUGGUUAAAGUCAAAAAAGCUUUUUCUCUGACAUGGAUUUCUAAACAAUAUAAUUAUGGUUCACUCCAUGGUUAUGAGCUUUGGGAGCUCCCACAAAAAAGUCUUUGCUGCAGAUGUGGCCACUGGCUGCUAUACCAGGCAAUUUGAUUCAUGUUUGUUGUUGUUAAAAAAAUAUAUAAAACUCUCUUAUGUUGGAUUAAGAGGCUUUUAAGAGGAAGCUAGACAGAAAGGCCAGGUCUCUCUCUAUUUGCUCAUUCAUGACAAAGGUGGAAGCUUCAAAUUUGUGAUACAUGUGAAGAAGGUGUCUGUUACUUCGUGUUACAUUUUUGCCUUCAGAAUUAUUGUUUUCAAUCAUUCUAUUUUAUAUAAAUGCACAAAAAAUAAGUCCAAGCUAAACUAGUGAUGCUGGGUCACUCCAAGAAGUGUCCUCAAUAUAGCUUCACAAAUUUACCCUUUUCUCUCCAAAUCCACGUUUAUUUCUUGAGACAGUUAUAUGAUGUUUUGCCAAGAAAGCAACUGGGAGCAAUGCCUUAUGUUUAACUGGGCUUUUAGAUUUGAGAAGCAAUCCAAUCCAAGACUUCAUGAUAAGACUUCCACAGCAAUUGGAUAUUAGUGACAUAUAAGGACCUUAAGAACUCCACCAUUUUAUACUCUAUAUAAAUGUAUGAUGUGGUACACAAAGUAUUAAUCAAUACUUCAUGAGCAUAGUAGCUCUGUUUAUACCAAUUUCUAGCAAUGUACAUUAGGCAAUUUUGUAGAAAAAAUAUAAUAAUUGAAAGUAUAAUUUAACUUCCACUCCAUGAACACUUAGCCUCUUCAUACCAUCCUCUUCCAAGCAUUUCUUUGGUCCUUGGAAAAUCAGUGAAAAAUCUGAAAAAUUGGGAUUUUGUGUUUGAUUAUAUGUACAUUUACUACAAGUAUACUGGGCUUUCCUUUUCUGAUGCUAUAGAGAUGAACUAUAGCUUUCCUAACUCAGUCUUAUUAUUAGCCAGGUCCAGUUUAUAUUAGUUAAAAUGAACAUCAUAAAUUUACAGUAUAACUUAUCUGGUACAUUCCUUCUAUUGUAGUUUGAAAAUGUGCCAUUCAGGACUGAAAUGACUUAAACAUAAUCAGAUUUUAUUUCUAGAGAAGUAAAGUCUAUACUUCUAUAAUUCUGUGAACCCAUCAGCAAUUAACUUUGUCCCAGUAGAAUUAAUAUAGUGUUCAAGUUCAGGAUUGAGUAGAUGAGAAGAGGAAGGAACAAUAAAACUCAUUCACUCCCAUGCUAGGUUCUGCAAAAUAGCUUCCAUAUUCCCAUAAUGUGAUAUUUAUCUUCCUUAUAAUAGCACAUUUAAAGUCAGUAACCCUAAAAAUCUCCUACAUAAAGGUUUGCAUCUUUCCCCUUAAAAAUGUACAGAUGAGCUUGUGAUAAAGAGAUGAUGUCUCCUGCCAAAUUGUAAUAUCAUAUAGACCAGUUCCAGGCAAAGUAUUGAAGAAGCAGUCAAAACUUCAUAUACCUAUCUAUCCUUGUCAGCCUCACGUAUUCAUGGAUGGGGUCACAGCUUAUCCCUUUAUUCUUUUUGGUUAGAAAGUCUUUCCAGAUGAGGUCAUCAUUUUCAUUACUCUGUUUCUUCCUCUCUCACUAGAGUGUCUUUCUAAAGGAAACCAAGGACCACUUCAGUGAAAUAUUGAAGGCAGGGGAGGCCCUAAAUGAUUAAAAGAAACAAAGCUUUCCCAUAGCACGUGUCCUUUUCUUUGUAAGGAGAUGAGGUAAUAUAUAAUCUUCCCACGUUACUACCACAAGGGCAUUUUGUGGCAGGGAGAGAUGGAUUUCUGGGAGUGAAAUCCAACUGCAAAGCAAGGGCUAUUUUCAGAAGGGCUUAUCUUCAAUAUCCUCAUUUCAGAAUUGGUCUCUUUGCUCAGAGCAAUACCUUGGGCAACACUGAGAACUCCCAUCUCUAAGGUAAGAAUAAAAGUUAUUUCCUCAUUGAUGGAAUAUCUGAUGAAGAAAAAGGAAGACAAAAAACAAUAAAUUAUUCUCAUAAAAGGUGAUGCAUAUGAAUAAAUGUCAAAUCCUUCUAGUAUUUCUCAUGUGGCUUGUACACAAGACUUCUAUUUGAUCUUUGGCUCUGCAGUUUCUACCACUAGAUGACCCACAUGUGUAAUCUGGAUAGGCAGCUAGUUUGCUUACAUAUAAAUUAAAUAGCCUCAAGUGUCAGCAGAUCUCUGUAUCUUUUUAAUAUCCCCCAAACUGCUUCAAGUAGGAACAGCUACAAAGAACCUUACCAAAGGACAUGGAAUUCACACUUGCCAAAGAAAUCACUGCACGUGUAAAUUAGAAACUAA